Molecule: long non-coding RNA, 4511 nt
Filed under: Mizuhopecten yessoensis (Yesso scallop)
Lineage: Eukaryota; Metazoa; Mollusca; Bivalvia; Pectinida; Pectinidae
Description: uncharacterized LOC110447806
Source: RNAcentral
CCGAUGUGGGGGAUAUAUUGUUCUUGCUGCGUUUAUUUUCAUCAAUAUGAAUAAUCUUAUUGAUAUUCUUAUUUUUCCUUCGUAUCAUUUAGCAAAUUGAAAAAAAAGCAAUACGGUUAUUCCCUAAUUUAACAUUUAUGGGUGUACGCCAAUGUGAUGUCAACAGUUGACAUCCCCUCUCCUUUUCUGAUUUUGCUCCCAACAUAGUAUGGCUAAUACAAAUUGUUUGAUAUUUGCUAAUAAAGUGACUGUUUGUGGGACUUCUCUCCUGUGCCCCGUUAUAAUUAGAACCUGUUUCUUUUAUUGUUGUAUUUCCACGGACCCUGUGUUUGUUUUUGUUUGUUACGAUAUAGUUUAUCUUUAACUAGGGAAUUGUGUGAUGGGCCUACAUUAUCGAUUUUGGCAGCAUCGUCCGUGUUUAUUCAGAACAGCGUUUACAAUAAAAACAAUGUUGACUUGUGCUGUUUUGUUUUCAGCGACACAAUGCUAUGGAUACGAAUCGAGGUGGCCCAGCGUAUACUGCUCAGCUUCAUGCUACUGUUUAAAGGUUGUUAAUGUGGGGAGAACAUGGCAUGAUGCAAAGGCGCACUGUGCUGCUGAAGGGACCUACCUGCUAAAAGUCGGCACUAAGGACCAAUUGGAAUUUGCCCUGGAAGUCAUGGAUAAGCAUACUGAUGUAUCUUACAUUUGGGUAGGCGGUUACAAGGAGACAACCUCUGAUCCUUUGAAGUGGUUAGAUGGCACUCUCAUCGACACCAGUUUGUUGACGACAGAGAACAUUGGAACGUGUGUUUGAAUUUGGGGAGCCAUUGGAAAAUUAGAUGAUGGUUACUGUUACUUCAACUUUCAUUUUCUAUGUCAUAUUUGAAUAUCAUAGGGAUACCAACUUAAUCAGUUACAUUGUACAGACGUGACUUUGCAAAAUGCAUUUUCAACUUUGUAGAAAGACUGAGUCUCAUUGUUUUGGUUGGUAACAUUACUUUCAUACAUCAUUGGAUGUACCUUUGUUUAAAUGUGUGGAGGUUAGGUAUCUUUUCGAUCGUACAUAAUUUGUUUACCUAAAUGUAUUGGGGAUUUGUGAGUCUUCGAUCGUACGUACUUCAUUUGUUUAAAUGUGAUAGUUUGGAUUUCUCAUCUGUCUACAUACUUUGAUUGUUUAAAUGAUAAUGCCUCUUUUGUAUAUACUAUGCAUAUUGAAUAUUUACAUUCUUGUGAAUAGGACAUCUGCUUUAUCGAUAUAUCCUGAAUAUUACGUCAUUUCCCGUUCAGAAGCAUAAAUAAAUUGAUGAAAACAACAGAAUAUGGGGAAACUUUAAGUUUUCGAUAGCAUAGAUCUAAUAUAAAUGCUAACAAAUAACGAAGGGGUUGUCUCCCUUCCGCUGUAAUUCAUUGUGGUCACACAAUGUGUUGUAAUGUAAGAACAAAAUGUGUAAACAUGUUCUAGGGUUUUGAAUUAUUUCAAGGCGGGCAUCAUAUUGAGUCUUGAAUUAUCUAUAUAUAGGGCACGAACCAAUUAUUGUAGAAAAACAAAUAUCUUUUUGUUAUCACUUUUAAAUAAAAGUUAUUUUGUGUUGAAUUUAAUUGAUAUCCUUUAUAAACAUAUAACUUUCUGCUAAAGUAAAUGGGCAGCCCGCUCUAUGUGAGAUAAAUGCCCAAUCGGGAACCGUCGCCACUUUCCGUAAACGAAUAAAUAUUUUCUCGUUUACGGAAUAAGCCGACGGUUUACGAUUGAUAAAUGCCAAACAAAUGUGAACUCUUUGUUAUUGGAGUCGUAUUACAGAACGUUGGAACUCUUAUUUAUUGGAGUCGUAUUACAGAACGUUGGAACUCUUUGUUAUUGGAGUCGCAUUACAGAACGUUGGAACUCUUUGUUAUUGGAGUCGCAUUACAGAACGUUGGAACUCUUUACCUUACAAGACAUAUGGUUGCUAUUGACAUUGAUAUCUCAUAAAAAUGUAAAUUAUAUACAGUGAUCACACACAGGUUGUGUUCACGAAGAAUUUUAUUUGUCGAAGUUAUUUGAUAAAAAAUAUUCUUACAGAAAAUAAGUAUCAUGUGAACUUAAAAAAUACAAUGAAAAUGGGUAAACAACAUCACAUAAUAAUGCCAUCAUAUUUCAGCUUAUUAUGCAAUAAUUAAAGAGUUGAAAUAUAUGUAGAUCAUUAUAGUAUAAAAAUAUCUGACAUGAAUUUCACCUUAUUGUGCAAUAACAAUAUUUCGAUCAAUGUUAGUUUUUCUUACAUGAAUUUCAGUUAAGAGUUCAAUACACACAUUUCUAAACAUAUAUAUAUAUUCAGAUCAAUGACACCAUAUGGAAAAAAAAUGAAAAUACUUUGCUGUUUAUUAUGCCACAGAUAUACAUAUUCAUAUGAUUAUUAUAGUUGUGACAAAUAACAUAAUCUCAGGGCAGUUAAUCGCGCAAUACACAAAUACCAGAUAUAAGUUCAGAUCAUUGUUUCUAUACCUUACAUGAAUUUCAGCCACUUUUUGCACAACACAAAUACAAGAAAUAUAUUCAGUGCGUUGACAUUUUGAGUUGAGUAUUUCAUUCGAGAUUGUUGCUCCAAAUAUAAUAUUACAAAAUUUGUACAUUUUUGAUGUUAAACGGACAUUCAUUAGCAGUGAUAUGUUUAUGUCAGUAUACAUUAAAAAUAACAGCUAGAUACAUGGCAAUAUAAGCACUUAUUUCACACUGGCAAUGCGUAUUGAAUUAAUACAAGAGUAUAUAAAUCUGAUAUCUCUAAACACCACAACGUUAUUUUAAAGAUACCAUAAAAGUCAGGGGUUACAUUCACUAACACUUACACUCAUUUACAUUCACUUUCAUUCACUUACACUCACUUACUUUCACUUACAUUCACUCAUUUACACUCACUUACACUCACUUACAUUCACUCGUUUACACUCACUUACACACAUCAACUUACAUUAACUUACACUCACUAACAUUCAUUUACACUCAUUUACAUUCACUUACAUUCAUUUACACUCAAUUACUUUCACUUACCUUCACGUUCAUUCACUUACAUUCACUCACUCACUUUCACUCACAUUCACUUACAUUCCCUUACACUCGUUUACGUUCACUUACGCUUACACUCACUUACAAUCCCUUGCACUCACUUACACUCAUUGACAUUCACUUACAUUCACUUACAUUCACUCGAAUUCACUUACAUCGUAAGUCAGCGUAACCCCUGGAUUUUCGAGGAUGCAACAACUGGUUACGACGAGCAAACCGUUUGUGUAAAUAUUUUAAAUCUUAUCCUAUUCUGAAAUAUAUAAUUGUGUUAUAGACUCUGGAAGGAAAGUAUACGUGGAUUUUGUCAAUAUGGGCUCAUGUGUCAUUUUUUUAUAAACGAAAAUCGGAACAUUGAGAAUAAUAACAAUUAUAAAAGAAAUUCUUCUGUUGUUCUAAUAUAUCAAAGUACAUUUUAUGUUUAUGUUUUGAGUAUAUCUAAUAGUCAUGUAGAUAGAUGUAAGUGAGGUUUACUUUAAAUAAAAUCAAGGAUCAGAAUAUCAUUUCUUUUAUGCUGUUGCAUAUUAAUGGCGAGUCAACAUUUCCUCUCUCACAACCACACAUUAAACUUGUAUCCAUGUUUGUUCUUAGGCUUCCAUCUUACGAUAAAUGUGAUAAACAUGAAUACUAUUGUCAAUCGGGUGAAUUCAUCAAAAAUGUGAAAAAGCAAAAUCUAAAGGAAGUACAGAUCAUAUCACACAUGGAUACUAAGUAUCUCUCAACAGGAUAUACAUUCCACUAUAUUCCUACACUUGUACAGUUAUAUGCCGUUAUACCUACGUCGGUGACAUGUAUGAAAUUUAUCAAAGUUUGUCAGUCGGCAGCGAAAAGAAAAUGCAUUUUUUUUGUGACUAAGUAAGUUUAGUUUUUACUCAGAGUCAUCUCUCUCUUCUAAUUAGAAGAUGAAACAACCAUAUUUUGCUGGAUUAGGGUAACUGACAUUCAUUCGUGGGAGACAAUUUCUGUGACUUAUUACGGUUAAGGCUACCACCGUCUUGGUUGUAAUCAGGAAAAAAAGUUCCCCUCAUAGUUAAUUAUUACUUAGAGUAUUCGCCCUUCUAUAUAGAAGAUGAAACAAUCAUAUUUUUUGCCUUAGAGUUAUUUCCCCCUGCUAUUGUUUUCAUAAGCUUUACGGCCGAUGAAUUGACACUCAUUUCGAUACUGUGCUUCUACAAUUACACGAUAGCAACAUCGAUGAAGCGUUAGCUUUGUAAUGUUUCCUGUUUUAUCGUUGCGGUGUUUCUCUUUUCAUUUUUCUUUCUUUCUUUCAAAUAUUCAAAUUUCGAACGACUAUUGUUUUGUAAAAUAUCAUUGCAUCAUUUCUUUUUUGAUUUUAUACUUCGUUUGAAAAGGAUUUAUUUAGAUAUUUCACAAUAUUGACAACUGAAAUAAUUUAGUUUAACCUGUUGAUAUCCUUUAUCGAAAUGCACAUCUUUGAAAAUAAUAUUUUUAUGAACACCGUAAAAUGUCUUUGGUUUAGAAUGGAGAGAAA